Oryzias latipes (Japanese medaka) is the source of this 1759-nucleotide non-coding RNA. The record is from RefSeq and is a predicted model, not a curated record. Lineage: Eukaryota; Metazoa; Chordata; Actinopteri; Beloniformes; Adrianichthyidae.
GGGCUGCACAUGCUGUUUCCCAGCCUGCUUCAAAAACACAUGCUGUCCACCUCCAGCCAGUUCCUGCUGCAGGAAAGAGGCUGCAGUCGCAAUAGGAGCAACAACACACCACGAGGAAGAGGAGGAGGAGGAGGAGGAGGAUGGUGGUGGUGGAGCAGGCCGGGAGGGAGGAGGGGGAGAAAAACCGGUUUCCAAUAGUGACGGAUGAUUUGUAGGUAACAGUUGUUUGCCUUGCAGCCUGAGGCCUGUUGAGGCUGCAGCAGCUCUGAGGCUGGGAGCUCAGACGGGUCCAAAAGGACCCGUCUGAGCUCCCAGCCUCAGAGCUGCUGCUGACCAGAGAGAUGCGGCUUCACGGAUGCAAACCUUCACCUGCAGCGUCGACCUGUUGGUUGUGGUUCUGCCUGAACUUUGUGCUCAGUUCCAGCCCCUCUGCAGCGCCCCCUGCUGCAUGAAAACCGCAGAGGAACACCUGAACCACAAAAGUUCAGAAGACCCCAAAAGCAUAACAGGACACUGAAACAAAUGAAACAAAUGAACUUUCCAGGGACGUGGAAAAUGCCAAACAGCUAAAGGCAGUGAGAGAAAAGAUGAUCCGAUUUCAGGACAAGAGGGAAAAACGGAGCUUCAUACACGACCAGACUCAAAGCUCCAAACCGUCAUGAACAAAGUCUGACAAUGACGUCAACAUUCAACGCGGAUGAUCAAAAUAGCUUCAAUGUAAAUGAAGUGACAGACUGCAAAAAGGGAACCUUAAGAAAAUAAAAAAGACUUGCAAGAAAUAGAAUCUUACCAAUAAAGUUAAGGGGCUGGAAAACUCUUUAAAACCUGAAAAGUUUCAGGUUUCAACCUCCUGCAUGUAGGGAUCACUCAGCGACAUCACAUCCUGCAGCAGCAAAGAAAUGAAGAAUGUAUUCAGUGUGAUUAAAGGAACUGGUUUCACAUCACUCCACUUUGUCUCCAGGGAGUCUGGAUUCUUCAGAUGACAAACAGACGUGACGGGGUUAAAGUUGGGUUUGACUCCACCUUCAGGAAUGUGCUGUGACGGCAAAGGUCCUCCCAAAAAGACAGGACCAAAUACGUGUGCGCGCUCGCAUGUGUGUGUGUGUGUCCUUCUGUGUGUGUGUGUGACCUGGACCAACCAGUUUGUGAUGCUGAUGCAUCAGAUCCUCCUGCUGUGAUGUCAGAUCACCUGUCAGGCGCGUUCAUACUUGCAGGGACCGUCAGGUUGGCACAAACCUUUGAAAAAGUUUGGUUUGUUCUCCAGAAACAGACUUCAACAGAGAAGAUGUUGACAGUUUGAGCUCAGUAAUCCUUCCCUGAUGACACAAAACAAGUCAAAAUGUUAAACACAUUUAUGCUAAAGAGGAGAAAUAGUCAGGCGAAAUAUGUUUUUCUUUUGCAGCUUUAUGUCAUCAUUAUAUCAUUUAUAACAUAUAACAUCAUUUUUUAGAAAUUCCAAUGAACUACGUAAUAAAAAAAAAAUGCCAGUCACAAAAGUUUGUCAAAGAAGCUGUUGAAGGCUCUUUCUCCCCCUGCUGGUGGAUGUUGUGAACUGCAGACGUUUCCAGGCCAACGUCACAGAGAGGAAGGAUGCUCUUGGAAUUAGUUUAACAAUCAUUUUGUGGCCCAGUUCAGCAUUUUUAUGCCAUCUUAAUUCUUUGUUCUAUGUUCGUUUUUUCUCUUAAAAUGUCUAUAAUUCAUAACAUUUAGAAUAUUUUUGAGCAGACUUAAUUUUUUAUUAAAUUGAUGUUAAAAAUGA